RNAcentral lists this small RNA (182 nucleotides) under Arabidopsis thaliana (thale cress). Its description in RNAcentral is "ATSL214510". The record is from RNAcentral. Lineage: Eukaryota; Viridiplantae; Streptophyta; Magnoliopsida; Brassicales; Brassicaceae.
UUUCAUUACACUUAUACAGCUAUCGACACCUAAAAGAAUUUACAGUCGUGUUCAGAAAAGUACAAACCCCAACUCUUUCUACGUUUGAAUUUCUCUCCCUAUGCACUUCGUCUUCUUCCAUGUAUAUUUCUUUGUCAGUUUUAAGUUCAUGUUUGCGUAUCGUUUUUGUUUGAUCCUCCUAU